UGAACGCUGGCGGCAGGCCUAACACAUGCAAGUCGAGCGGAUGAAAGGAGCUUGCUCCUGGAUUCAGCGGCGGACGGGUGAGUAAUGCCUAGGAAUCUGCCUGGUAGUGGGGGACAACGUUUCGAAAGGAACGCUAAUACCGCAUACGUCCUACGGGAGAAAGCAGGGGACCUUCGGGCCUUGCGCUAUCAGAUGAGCCUAGGUCGGAUUAGCUAGUAGGUGAGGUAAAGGCUCACCUAGGCGACGAUCAGUAACUGGUCUGAGAGGAUGACCAGUCACACUGGGACUGAGACACGGCCCAGACUCCUACGGGAGGCAGCAGUGGGGAAUAUUGGACAAUGGGCGCAAGCCUGAUCCAGCCAUGCCGCGUGAGUGAUGACGGCCUUAGGGUUGUAAAGCUCUUUCGCUAGAGAGGAAAAUGACGAUAUCUAGAGAAGAAGCCCCGGCUAACUUCGUGCCGGCAGCCGCGGUA
RNAcentral lists this ribosomal RNA (472 nucleotides) under uncultured bacterium. RNAcentral describes it as "bacterial SSU rRNA". It matches the Rfam family "Bacterial small subunit ribosomal RNA", at positions 30 to 522 of the family's 1533-position model. The record is from RNAcentral.